UCUAGUUUAAAAACAGAUAUGUCUGAUUUACCUUAUGAAACUGAACAUCUCUGCAAAAUAUUUUAAAUUCUCAUAAGAGGGAGGAAAGGUUAUUAAUAUGCUAAAGACUAAAUAAUGCUUCUUACUAAAUUGCAAUGGUAUAAAAAUAUCCUGAUAAAAAUGCAAGAAUAUCUUGGACUAUCUUUGACCUCUCAUUUUCUUUUUUCUUAGUUCUAGGAUAAUUUUUCUUAUUUGCAUGUGAAUAACAGCAAAGUGUUUGUUUUAAUAAUUUUUUUCAGCUGUGACUUUGUGUACAGUUUCUUAAUUUAUUUAGAGAAAUAUUAAAACCCUUCCAGCAUUUCUCUGAAAGUAGAUUUCUCUACUAACAAAUCUUUGUUGCGAUCCCACGAGUAACCAGCUUUUAUAGCAUGUCUCACUGUGCCAACAUUUUUUAACCAUCCAUUUUAUUUAAAAUAAUUUUAAAAGCCCUGCCUUUUGGCAGGCAUAUGAAACAAGUAUGCCUUUUUAUUUUUUGUAUAUUUCACGGGAAUCAAAGACAAGUUCUUAGGUAGUUGUGCGAAAAUAAAAAGAUAAUCCUUUCUCUACAUGGUUGAUCUAUGCAUGCAUUAGAUAGGACAUAGUGAUAGGUGCAAUGAACAGAUUUGGGAUAAAUGGGGAGGAUGCAGAAGCCUUAUCCAUGGUAAGCCACAUCUUGAGUCCACUGAAGAAGCAGUGCUUAAAACUGAGAAAUGUAAUAAUUAAAAUUUAUAGAUACAUGCUUUGGAGUUAAUCAGGGGUAGAUAGGUAAGCUUGCUUUUCAAGAUUAGUCCAAAGUCCUUGUUAAAUGGCUUUGAGAAGCUGCACAUCUUUCAGCUUACAUGAGGUAUGUUCUUUCAACAGAUGUCACUUCUAGCAGAGCAGUAAGUGCACCCCCAACAGAGCAGAAGAGGAGAAAGAUUCAUAGAAACAUUCUGUUUUCUCAUGGAUGAUUCUGUUACCUGCUAGUAUCAUGGAGAAAAAAAAAGAUGUCAAAUUGAUAAAUCUUUUUGUCAGUAUUUUUGCUCUAGUAAAAAUAGUUCUAGAUUUCUAAUAGUUCUAGAAAUAUGAUCUGAUUAAACGCUUUGGAAGUUUUGCCAGAUGCUAUUCUCUAAAACCAGCGAUAUUGCUGUUGCGAAGUCUGAAAUGAGUGUACAUAGUGUAUAUUUUGUUUGAGUAGAGAGGGUUUAUCUUUUUUUUUUUUUUAAAUGAAUUUUGUAGCUGGGUAAUUGUUCAGCAGGACUGAAUGCGGACCUCUUUGCUGGCCUUGCAUUUAUAAGCAAACAGUUAUCUAGGGGAGGUAUAAAAAUGACAAAGUGACCUUGGGAAAUGGUAUCCUAUUGAAAAGCCCUUAGUAGAAUGUAAACCACUUAUUUCUGAAGUAGUAAACUCUUACUUGGCCUCAACUAGCACUUAAUUAGUUGUGUGGGUUUUUUUUUCCUCAAUAUUAUAGUACUUUCCUGUUAUUUAGAGAGCUUUCUAGUAUACACAUAUUUUUGUAACAUCAAUAGGGUUCCUUUGUAUUGCAUAGAUCAUUUGGGAUAAUGUCCAAGAUGUGAUUCAUUGUAAUGUUGUAAGGAGUUAUAAAAUAUUCCCAGACUCAUCUGGAUUAUUUAAUCAUGGUGAGAUGAUCUGGUUGGAUUUCCUUUUUAGAAGAAUUUUGCAGACACUGUCAGGUAAUUUAAGAUCUCCUGUACUUCUUUAAUUAUUUCUUGGUGAGACAUUAAAAAGUUUACCUUAA
This is a long non-coding RNA of Harpia harpyja (harpy eagle), 1756 nucleotides long. RefSeq lists it as uncharacterized. The transcript has 2 exons. The record is from RefSeq and is a predicted model, not a curated record. Lineage: Eukaryota; Metazoa; Chordata; Aves; Accipitriformes; Accipitridae.